CCUGCCCUAUGCAGGGGGAUAACAGUUGGAAACGACUGCUAAUACCGCAUAAGCUAUGGAGCUUUGCAUGAAGCUUAUAGCAAAGAUUUAUCGGCAUAGGAUGGACCCGCGUUGGAUUAGCUAGUUGGUGAGAUACCAGCCCACCAAGGCGACGAUCCAUAGCCGGCCUGAGAGGGUGAACGGCCACAUUGGGACUGAGACACGGCCCAAACUCCUACGGGAGGCAGCAGUGGGGAAUAUUGCACAAUGGGCGCAAGCCUGAUGCAGCAACGCCGCGUGAAGGAUGAAGGUUUUCGGAUCGUAACUUCUAUCAGCAGGGAAGAAAUAAUGACGGUACCUGACUAAGAAGCUCCGGCUAACUACGUGCCAGCAGCCGCGGUAAUACGUAGGGAGCAAGCGUUAUCCGGAUUUACUGGGUGUAAAGGGUGCGCAGGCGGCCAAGCAAGUCAGAAGUGAAAUUCCGAGGCUCAACUUCGGAGCUGCUUUUGAAACUGCUAGGCUAGAGUGUGGGAGAGGAAAGUAGAACUUUGAGUGUAGCGGUGAAAUGCGUAGAGAUUCAAAGGAAUACCAGUAGCGAAGGCGGCUUUCUGGACCAUAACUGACGCUCAGGCACGAAAGCGUGGGGAGCAAACAGGAUUAGAUACCCUGGUAGUCCACGCUGUAAACGAUGAAUGCUA
This 677-nucleotide ribosomal RNA is filed under the name uncultured bacterium. RNAcentral describes it as "bacterial SSU rRNA". It matches the Rfam family "Bacterial small subunit ribosomal RNA", at positions 125 to 818 of the family's 1533-position model. The record is from RNAcentral.